UACGGGGGGGGCAAGCGUUGUUCGGAAUUACUGGGCGUAAAGGGUUCGUAGGCGGCUAACUAAGUCAGACGUGAAAUCCCUCGGCUUAACCGGGGAACAGCGCUUGAGACUGGCACGCUCGAGUUCGGGAGAGGAUGGUGGAAUUCCCAGUGUAGAGGUGAAAUUCGUAGAUAUUGGGAGGAACACCGAUGGCGAAGGCAGCCAUCUGGACCGACACUGACGCUGAGGCGCGAAAGCGUGGGGAGCAAACAGG
This 253-nucleotide ribosomal RNA is filed under the name uncultured bacterium. RNAcentral's name for it is "partial 16S ribosomal RNA". It matches the Rfam family "Bacterial small subunit ribosomal RNA", at positions 524 to 776 of the family's 1533-position model. The record is from RNAcentral.